Molecule: ribosomal RNA, 523 nt
Filed under: uncultured bacterium
Lineage: Bacteria
Description: bacterial SSU rRNA
Rfam family: Bacterial small subunit ribosomal RNA
Source: RNAcentral
GAUGAACGCUGGCGGCGUGCUUAACACAUGCAAGUCGAGCGGAGUUUGUAGAUGGAUUUCCUUCGGGAAUGUAGCCUACAAACUUAGCGGCGGACGGGUGCGUAACGCGUGGGUAAUCUGCCCUUGUCACUGGGAUAACACAUCGAAAGGUGUGCUAAUACCAGAUAAUAUCAAGUCAUGGCAUCAUGACUUGAUCAAAGAACCUCGGACAAGGAUGAGCCUGCGUCUGAUUAGCUAGUUGGUGGGGUAAUGGCCUACCAAGGCGACGAUCAGUGGCCGACCUGAGAGGGUGAUCGGCCACACUGGAACUGAGACACGGUCCAGACUCCUACGGGAGGCAGCAGUGGGGAAUAUUGCACAAUGGGCGCAAGCCUGAUGCAGCCAUGCCGCGUGUGUGAAGAAGGCCUUCGGGUUGUAAAGCACUUUCAGCGAGGAGGAAAGGUUGGUAGCUAAUAACUGCCAGCUGUGACGUUACUCGCAGAAGAAGCACCGGCUAACUCCGUGCCAGCAGCCGCAGUAAGAC